CAAGGGCCUGGUCCCGGCCCUUUUAUUGGCUGUUUCUAAAAUUAUACAUGUAAGAAUCCCCACCCCAGUGAAAAUGCCCUUUACUUUAAACUAAAGAUGAGGAGCAGGUAUCAGGCGCACAGCUGUUGCCCACUACACCUUGCUAUGCCACACCCCCACGGGUAAUCAACAGUAAUUAGUAUUGAGAAAUGAUUGAAAAAUCGACUCAGCUAUAGAUAACAGAGUUGGUAAAUUUCGUGCCAGCCACCGCGGUUAUACGUAAAACUCGAGUCAAUAACCUUCGGCGUAAAGAGUGGCCUGAGAAAUUCAAACUAAAGCAGAACUACUUAUGAGGUGUUAUACCCCUAAUAAGAAAAGAAAAUCAUUGCGAAAGCAGCUUUAAAACUUGAACCCACGAAAAUUAUGAAACAAACUAGGAUUAGAUACCCUACUAUGCAUAAUCUUAAACUAAGGACUACCCUUACUAUAGUCUCGCCAGGGAAUUACGAGCACUAGCUUGAAACCCAAAGGACUUGGCGGUGCUUAAGACCCACCUAGAGGAGCCUGUUCUAUAAUCGAUACCCCACGUUAAACCUCACCCCAUCUCGUCAUAUCCGCUUGUAUACCGCCGUCGUCAGCUUACACUGUGAAGCAUCUAUAGUAAGCAGAAACGCCACCCUCAAACGUCAGGUCAAGGUGCAGCUAAUGUUGGGGAAAGAAAUGGGCUACAUUCACUUCUGAGUGAAAACGAAUGCAGUACUGAAACAAAAGCUGAAGGAGGAUUUAGAAGUAAGGUCGAAAAGAAUAUCCGCCUGAACCCGGCUCUAAAGCGCGCACACACCGCCCGUCACUCUCUCUUAACUUUAAUUUACCUUAACUAAAACCACUAAUAACUAAAGAGAGGCAAGUCGUAACAUGGUAAGAGUACUGGAAAGUGCUCUUGGUAAAC
Molecule: non-coding RNA, 928 nt
Filed under: Solenostomus paradoxus (harlequin ghost pipefish)
Lineage: Eukaryota; Metazoa; Chordata; Actinopteri; Syngnathiformes; Solenostomidae
Description: 12S ribosomal RNA
Rfam family: Bacterial small subunit ribosomal RNA
Source: RNAcentral